ACUGGUGGUCGGCGCCGGCUAAGGUGGGCCUUUCGAGCCCGUGACCCGGGUUCAAAUCCCGGCCGGGG
Molecule: transfer RNA, 68 nt
Filed under: Caldivirga sp.
Lineage: Archaea; Thermoproteati; Thermoproteota; Thermoprotei; Thermoproteales; Thermoproteaceae
Description: tRNA-Glu
Source: RNAcentral